CGGAAGUUACCAGAGAUGGUUUCGUGCUCGAAAAGAGAACCGUAACACAGGUGCUGCAUGGCUGUCGUCAGCUCGUGUCGUGAGAUGUUGGGUUAAGUCCCGCAACGAGCGCAACCCUUGUCAUUAGUUGCUACGAAAGGGCACUCUAAUGAGACUGCCGGUGACAAACCGGAGGAAGGUGGGGAUGACGUCAAGUCCUCAUGGCCCUUAUAGGUGGGGCUACACACGUCAUACAAUGGCUGGUACAGAGGGUUGCCAACCCGCGAGGGGGAGCUAAUCCCAUAAAACCAGUCGUAGUCCGGAUCGCAGUCUGCAACUCGACUGCGUGAAGUCGGAAUCGCUAGUAAUCGCGGAUCAGAAUGUCGCGGUGAAUACGUUCCCGGGUCUUGUACACACCGCCCGUCACA
RNAcentral lists this ribosomal RNA (407 nucleotides) under uncultured Burkholderiales bacterium. RNAcentral describes it as "bacterial SSU rRNA". It matches the Rfam family "Bacterial small subunit ribosomal RNA", at positions 991 to 1401 of the family's 1533-position model. Lineage: Bacteria; Pseudomonadati; Pseudomonadota; Betaproteobacteria; Burkholderiales. The record is from RNAcentral.